AUGAGGUCCUCUGGGUCUCUUAACCAGUCGCAACGGUGAUACGCAAUGAGUGACAGGACUCUAUUUUUGGAAGAGUUUCUAUUUCUGCAACGUCACAGACAGUUGAGUACAAGAACAUACAGUGGGUCCAAUGACAAUGAAAAUAUAAGGCGGUUUUCAAGACAAGUCUGCCGGCAGGUCAUUUGCUCCGGAGGAGAACCAUUGAGCGCUAUUAAACCCACCUCAGGGACUCCAUUGAUGGGUAGCAGUGGAAAAGGCUCCAGCUGUUCGCUUUGAUCCGGGUCCAGCCCACCCUGAUGAAUUGACCCCAGUAGUACCAGCGCUGAUCUGUUCCUCCCCUGACAUUAGUGUGCUAUUUGAGGUUUUUCUCUUGAGUGUUCUUCUUCAUUUUCCUGGGUGGGAAUGACAUGACGAAUACAGGUGUUCAGCUGGAGAACCAGACAGGCGUUUGGUGCUUAGUGGCGCUCUAAACAUUCACAGUGAAGUGUAUGUGCAAAGCCUCUUGGGAAUGAGUGGAUGAGUCCAGACCAGUGCAAUCAGACGAGGUUGCCUUUCGAAGAACAUUUUACUUGCAUAAUCUUAUUACAGUGAAACAGGAUAUUUGAUGAGGGGAAAAAAAUGUAGAACGAGACAGAUUUGGCAAAAGUGGAGCAGGUGGUUGGACAGAAGAGAUUUAAUUAUCUGAACAUUUGAACCCUUUCACAUUAUUUUAAUGUAUCUUGACGUUUCUUUAUUUGCUUUUAGUUCACCCCCAAAAAUAAAAAAAUUGGCAGAAAAUGUAUUCAAACUAAGGCUAUCCAAGUUUCUAGUUUGUUUGUGGGAAAAGAUUGCUCACCAAUAGAUCCUCUGCAGUGAAUGGGUGCCAUCAGAAUGAGAGCCCAAACAGUGUUUUGUUUCACAAGACAUAAAAUGAUGGACUGGAUAUAUGUGGAUUACUUGUGGAUUAUUGAGAUGUUUUUAUCAGCUGUGUGGACUCUCAUUCUGAUGGCACCCAUUCACUGUAGAAGAUCCAUUGGUUAGCAAGUGAUGUAGUGCUACAUUUCUCUAAAUAUUUUCCCAUGAAAAAAAAAAAAAAAAAAA
Carassius carassius (crucian carp) is the source of this 1080-nucleotide long non-coding RNA. RefSeq lists it as uncharacterized. Lineage: Eukaryota; Metazoa; Chordata; Actinopteri; Cypriniformes; Cyprinidae. The record is from RefSeq and is a predicted model, not a curated record. The transcript is spliced from 6 exons.